AUGGCCACUCUUAUCACCACUCUCUCCACUAGCUUCAGCCGAGUCCCUCCGGCGGCUGUUCCGGCCGUCUUGGAUUGCAUUCUGGCCUCUACCGGCGUAUCUCGGUCGUCUCUGUUCGAUAAGUCUGCACAUGUAACAGGUGUCAUGAAAGACAACCAGAAGUUGGACUCCCAUGACUGUAACUAUCUGGCAUCAUUGGUUGGGGCACUUUGUCACCUCUUAAAGAAAUUUGAUACUAAUCUUGGUGCUUUGGAAUCAUUUAUCUGGAAAUGUUUUCUUCCGUUGAUAAAGAUGGCACAUAUGUUCAGCCGCGAUAUGCUUAACCAGAUUACAGAAUCAUUUAUUAAUGCUGUGAUUGAGACAAACAGCUGGGUAGUUCUGGAGGCAACACUGGUGCCAAUUUUUCUAAGAUUAGUUGCCAGUUCUAUUGGUAUGCCUGAAAAGGAAGUAUCAGAUACUUUUCAGUUGAUUUUGGGAUCUAAUGACCGGGUAAAUCAUAUGGAAAUGAGUACAAAUCACGUCAUUUCCCCUCCUGGAUCACCUUCACUGCCAAUUUCAUGCCACAUCCUAACCUUAAUGCUUGAUGCUGUCCUUCAAAGCAAGAAAACAGCUGCCUCUACAGAAUCAACAAUUGAAAAUGGGUGUUUUGAUGAUCAAAAUUUUGUUGGUAAAUUGACUUGGGGUCUUUGUAGGUUAACUGAACAAUUGCUUUUACAAAAUUUGGAAUACCGCUCCUGUGCUACUGCCUUUCUUCUCCCAAUCAUUUUCAAAGUUGAUAAGGAGAGUUUAGUGAGGAAGCAAUCGUUACAGAUCUUAAAGAUAGCACUACACAUAAAUGGAGCAGCUCAAUCCUCCGGUGUUCCAGAGGAUAUAUCGGCUGAAAAUAAGUCGAUGCCUCAAGGCAUGACAAAGAGGGAGCUGUGGGCUGAUAAGGAAGCUAAAUCGUUGGGUGUGGGGAAAAUAUGUUGCCUAGUCGAGUCUUCCGUGGAAAGCCAGAACAAGUGGGAGGCAUUUGUGCUCCUGUAUGAAAUGCUUGAAGAAUAUGGAACUCACCUCGUUGAAGCAGCUUGGAAUUACCAGAUAUCCUUGUUACUUCAAAAUUCUAGCUCAGAUGCUAAUAAUACAAUCUCUGUCAGUGGAGCACUUCAUCAAAACCAGAUCGAAAAUCCAGGAGAAAUCUUUAACUGGCUAGCAAUUUUGUGGGAAAGGGGCUUUAAUCAUGACAACCCGCUAGUUAGGUGCUUGAUCAUGCAGUCAUUUUUGGGGAUUGAUUGGAUGCAUUCCGGCACACCAGCUAGAUCGGUGCCUAGACAUUUUGUUCUUGGUUCAUUUAUUCAAGGGUUAAAUGAUCCUGUGCAUCACAAAGAAUUUGGUGUAAAAGGAAUAUACUCCUCAAUGACCAUACGAGGUGCAGCCAACUUUCUAAACAAAUAUACAAGUUUUCUGAAUGUGAGGAAGUGCAUUAUGUUUCUGAGUGACUUAGCAUCAGCUGCUAAGCAGCAACCUCUUGGUAGAGUUGGAUUGAUGUGCCUUGCUGAAUGCAUUUCUUCUGCUGCUCGUCAAGUUGGAAAGAAUAAUAAUGAAACUGAUGCUCAGUGCUUUGAAGAUGGAUUUCCUGACAUGAUCCAAGUGGGAAAGGCUUCUUACAAUGACAAAAUUGUUUUGCUUGAUGCCUUGAGAUUUAUUAUUGAGAGCAGCAAACAACAUUUCAAUUCUAAUUAUCGUCUUCAAGGUCUAUAACUAACCUGUUUAGAUGAUAAUAUUAUAUCUUUACAAGUGGUUGUUUACACAGUUUGUGAGAAAGUCCUCGAGUCUGCUGCUUCAGUGGUGUGCACAUGUGAUCUGCCUCUUGAUGUACUUUUGCACUUCAUUUCAACAUUUCCAUGGGAAUUCACUGAUCACGGUGGUCCCUUAAGACAGAAAGUACAACAAUGGCUUAUGGAUGGUAAUCAUUGCAGUGUCAACUGCUGCAGUACUGAAAUAGAGCUCCUCAAGAGUCUUCAUGACUUCCCAAAUAGGUUUACAAGCACUUGCAAUGAUGAUGCUUCAACCACUUUUGACGAUGAAGACUUGGAUGCAUGGGAAUUUGAAGCGAAGCGGUGGGCUAGAGUGCUCUUUAUUGCAUGUGAGGAGGAAUAUCAGUUGUUACCUAUACUGACGUUUAUUCAAAAUCAUGGUAGUGAUGUCUGCAAACAAUACAAUAAUAUGGACCUAUUUCCUGUGAAGUUUCUCAUCCUCAUCUUGAGUCUGGUUCUGGAGCUUCAGAUGAUGCAAGAAAGAGUUGCUAAACAUGGUUCUGAGCUUCGAAGCAAAACAGAAUUUUUUGUGCCAGAAUCAAUGAAUCAAUUUAAUCAUGCAGAUGUUCCUAAUUUAUAUCAAAAGUUCACUGCCAUUUUUCUUCUUUUACUGGAGGAGUUAGUCUCUUUUGCAAACCUGUCUUGUUCCAUAUUCUCAAAUAACAAUACGUCUAAGAUGAGAGAUGCAACCCUUCCUGGUUCUGUAACAGGAAAACUUGGAGGACCUAGUCAACGCCGACUGUCAUCUUCUACCACCAGUGCUGUAUUGCGAGCAAUUAUGUCCAUGAAGGCUGUUGCAACUAUCACCUCAUUCUGUGCACGAGUUAAAACUGAUGUUUCCCUUGAACCUGCUAUUAAUUUUUUGUGGGAUUUCUACUGGAAGACUAUUUCGUCUCCAGCUUGUGAUUCAGAGACUGGAGCAGAAAUACAUCUUGCAGCAUAUGAAGCGUUAGCCCCUACUCUCACAGGACUAGCGUCUGUGUGUUCUCCUCACACUUUGGAUCCACAUAAGAAAUAUCACAGCUCGUUACUAUCAGAUGGCAAACCUUUUUUGGAUUCUUUGGUGCUAAAUUUUCUUCAAAACACAAAUAAACUCAUUACAGUAGGAGUAUUUACACGAUCUCGACGUGCAGUUUUAAUGAAUUGGAAGUGGAUUUGCCUAGAAUCUCUAUUGUCGAUUCCUUGCCAUGCUCAUAGGAACGGGUUUCUUCUAGAGGAAAAUAAUUAUGUCUUCUCAGGUGCUGCUCUCAGAUGUAUAUUUUCUGAUAUUCUUGAGAGCCUUGAGAAUGCUGGUGAAGGUUCUGUUUUACCGAUGCUCAGAUCAGUUCGACUAGUUUUGGACCUACUUGCCCAUGGAAAGUCUGGCUCACUUGUCUGCUUCUGUGAUGGGGUGGAUGCCCAGAUGCUGUGGCAUUUGGUUCAUUCUUCUUGGAUAUUGCAUGUCAGUUGCAACAAGCGGAAGGUUGCACCUAUUGCUGCACUUUUGUCUUCUGUUCUCCAUUCAUCUCUAUUUAGUGACGAGAGCAUGCAUAUAACUGAUGGUGCACCUGGGCCUCUGAAGUGGUUUGUUGAAAAAAUUCUUGAGGAAGGGACGAAAAGUCCCCGGACAAUUCGUCUUGCUGCAUUACACUUAACAGGGCUGUGGCUAUCGUAUCCUAGGAUUAUACAGUACUAUGUGAAGGAGCUGAAGCUGCUGUCCCUUCAUGGUUCUGUUGCUUUUGAUGAGGACUUCGAAGGUGAACUAGCUGAUAAUCGAGAUACCAGGGCUGAAGUUUCUUUAUUGGCAAAAGGCCCUGAUCUGGAGCUGACCAAAGCAUUUAUCAAUACAGAGUUGUAUGCACGGGCCUCUGUUGCUGUUCUAUUCUACAAGCUAGCAGACAUGGCCAUCAUGGUGGGAUCAACUAAUGAAAAUGCAGAUUGCUAUGCAGCUUUGGAAUCUGGAAAAAUGUUUUUGCUUGAGCUUCUUGAUUCCGCGGUAAACGACAAGGAUCUUGCAAAAGAGUUGUAUAAGAAGUAUAGUGCAAUUCAUAGAAGAAAGGUACGGGCAUGGCAAAUGAUAUGUAUUUUGUCACCUUUUGUCUGUGAGGAUAUAGUCUCAGAAGUUGCACGUUGCUUGCACACAUCCCUCUAUAGGAACAACUUACCUGCAGUUCGUCAAUAUUUGGAAACAUUUGCAAUUAAUAUGUACUUAAAGUUUCCACCACUGGUUGAGGAGCAACUAGUUCCUAUGUUAAGAGAUUAUGACAUGAGACCUCAGGUAUGUACAGCUCUCUCUUCUUAUGUAUUUAUAGCAGCUAACGUAAUCCUCCAUGCAUCUCAACCUGUUCAACACCGACAUCUGAAUGAAUUACUUCCUCCUAUAGUUCCACUAUUAACCUCACAUCACCACAGUCUACGUGGUUUCACCCAGUUGCUGGUUUACCAAGUUCUUUGCAAAUUGUUCCCUCCCAUGGAUUCUGGAGCCUCUGAAUGUAUGACUUUAGAGAAGAGAUGUUUUCAGGAUCUGAAAUCCUACCUCGCAAAGAACUCUGAUUGUACGCGCUUACGACAAUCAAUGGAAGGGUAUCUUGAUGCCUACAGUCCCCUUAGCUCGAUCACUCCUGCGGGUGUGUUCAUCAACCGUGUUGAGGACAUCGAGUUUGAAUGUGUAUCAAUAUCCCUUAUGGAGCAAGUGCUCAACUUUUUGAAUGAUGUGAGGGAAAACCUUCGAAAUUCAAUGGCAAAGGAUGUUGUGACCAUUAAGAAUGAGAGUUUGAGAUCUGAUGGAGAUCAAGACCGCAUGGGGAUACUGUCUAAUGCUAAUGAAAGACAAUUGUGUACCCAGCUGCCUAAAGAUAUCUCACUAGAUUUUCAGAAGAAGAUUACUCUAUCUAAACAUGAGAAGCAAGACGACGUAAAUGAAAAACUUAAAAUUGAUAUAAUCUGAUGUGGAAUCAAUACAGAAUUAGAAAAGGACGAUAAGCUUCUUGCUCAGGUGCUUCAGUCUAGAACUCUUGGAAUAGAAAGAGAGAGAUCAAGUAGACAACAUCUUAUCCUUGUAGCAUCUCUGCUUGAUCGGAUACCUAACCUAGCUGGCCUUGCUCGGACUUGUGAGGUAUUUAAAGUAUCAAGCUUGGCCAUUGCGGAUAAAAACGUAUUACAUGACAAACAGUUCCAACUCAUCAGUGUGACCGCUGAGAAGUGGGUUCCUAUCAUCGAAGUCCCAGUGAAUAGUUUGAAGAUUUUCCUUCAGAAAAAGAAACAAGAAGGUUUCUCAAUUUUAGGACUAGAGCAGACUGCAAACAGUAUACCUCUUGAUCAAUAUAUCUUUCCUAAAGAUACAGUACUGGUUCUUGGGCGAGAGAAGGAAGGUAUACCAGUUGAUAUAAUACAUUUUCUAGAUGCUUGCCUUGAAAUUCCACAGUUGGGAGUUGUAAGAUCUCUCAAUGUUCAUGUCAGUGGUGCCAUUGCACUCUGGGAAUAUACUAGACAACAGAGAUCCCAGUAG
This is an RNA transcript of Fragaria vesca subsp. vesca, 5283 nucleotides long. RefSeq lists it as uncharacterized. The transcript is spliced from 35 exons. The record is from RefSeq and is a predicted model, not a curated record. NCBI's taxonomy places the organism in Eukaryota, Viridiplantae, Streptophyta, Magnoliopsida, Rosales, Rosaceae.